Molecule: ribosomal RNA, 407 nt
Filed under: uncultured bacterium
Lineage: Bacteria
Description: partial 16S ribosomal RNA
Rfam family: Bacterial small subunit ribosomal RNA
Source: RNAcentral
GACGAACGCUGGCGGCGUGCUUAACACAUGCAAGUCGAACGGAGUGGCGAACGGGUGAGUAACACGUGGGUGAUCUGCCUUGCACUUCGGGAUAAGAUUGGGAAACUGGGUCUAAUACCGGAUAGUGCAAGAUGAGCUCGCGGCCUAUCAGCGUGUUGGUGGGGUAAUGGCCUACCAAGGCGUCGACGGGGAGCCGGCCUGGGAGGGUGUACGGCCACAUUGGGACGGGGAUGCGGGCCAGAGGGCUACGGGAGGCAGGAGUGGGGAAUAGUGCACAAUGGGCGGAGGCAUGAGGCAGGGACGCCGGGUGGGGGAUGAAGGCCUUCGGGUUGUAAACUGCUUUCGACAGAGACGCGGAACCAGUAUAAGAAGCACCGGCUAACUACUUGCCAGCAGCCGCGUAAUAC